GCGGCGCGCCUAACACAUGCAAGUCGCACGAGAAAAGGGGGGCAACCCCCCGGUACAGUGGCGCACGGGUGAGUAACACGUGGGUGAUCUGCCCCAGAAGAAGGGGAUAACCUCUCGAAAGGGGGGCUAAUACCGCAUAGGACCACCGGGGACUCUGGGCUCUGUGGUGAAAGGGGGGCCUCUGUUUACAAGCUCCUGCUUCUGGAUGAGCCCCGCGUUCCCAUCAGCUAGUUGGUAGGGUAAUGGCCUACCAAGGCUACGACGGGUAGCUGGUCUAAGAGGAUGGCCAGCCACACUGGAACUGAGACACGGUCCAGACUCCUACGGGAGGCAGCAGUGGGGGAAUCUUGCGCAAUGGGCGAAAGCCUGACGCAGCGACGCCGCGUGGGGUGACGAAGGCC
This 401-nucleotide ribosomal RNA is filed under the name uncultured bacterium. RNAcentral describes it as "partial 16S ribosomal RNA". It matches the Rfam family "Bacterial small subunit ribosomal RNA", at positions 39 to 416 of the family's 1533-position model. The record is from RNAcentral.